UACAGAGGUCCCAAGCGUUGUUCGGAUUCACUGGGCGUAAAGGGUUCGUAGGCGGUGUGGCAAGUCGGGAGUGAAAUCUCUGGGCUCAACCCAGAGUCUGCUUCCGAAACUGCUGUGCUUGAGUGUGGGAGAGGCGCGUGGAAUUGCAGGUGUAGCGGUGAAAUGCGUAGAUAUCUGCAGGAACACCCGUGGCGAAAGCGGCGCGCUGGACCACUACUGACGCUGAGGAACGAAAGCUAGGGGAGCAAACAGG
This 253-nucleotide ribosomal RNA is filed under the name uncultured bacterium. Its description in RNAcentral is "partial 16S ribosomal RNA". It matches the Rfam family "Bacterial small subunit ribosomal RNA", at positions 524 to 776 of the family's 1533-position model. The record is from RNAcentral.